Long non-coding RNA from Lynx canadensis (Canada lynx), 3045 nucleotides. RefSeq lists it as uncharacterized. The record is from RefSeq and is a predicted model, not a curated record. NCBI's taxonomy places the organism in Eukaryota, Metazoa, Chordata, Mammalia, Carnivora, Felidae. The transcript has 5 exons.
GGGGAGUGGCCCCGGGGCUCAGGCCGCCCCCCCACCUCCCUCCCAGCGCCCCAGCGACUCACCCCACAGAGCCAUGAAGAUGGCAAAGAGCACGGUGCCCUCGUUGUCGAAGAGGGAGAAGCCGCUCAGGAAGAUGACGAGGCCGGCCACCGCAGCGGGCACCAGCAUGUAUGUGUACCAGCCCAGCCAGGCGAAGUACAGGGCCACCUUCUCGCCAAAGUAGUCCCUGUGGGGAGGCUGCCCCGUCAGGCCGCCCCUCCCCACCCCCGGAUGUGACCCCACAGGCCAGUGCUGGGGUCCAGGUGCCACAUGGGGAGACCAGACUGCUGUGUCCCACCCAGGAGCACAGACACAACUGUCUGCCGUGGACACGGGUGUGUCUGGGGAUCUUGGGCGUGUCGGUGGGCACAUGCAUGUGUCUGUGGGGCCACGGGUGUGUCUGGGGGGGCGCAGGUGAUUUGUCUGAGGCAGUGUCACCUGAUGUCAUCAAUCGGCUGCUUGUGCACCAUGUUUCUCCACCGGGCCCAUUUCUUCUUCAGGUCGUCCUCCCCCUGGGCACAGGUGACAGACAGCGAGGGCUCCCUGCCUCCAGUCCCACCCUCAGGACUUCUCCCAGCCCUGGCCCACCCCUCACCUUGUGCAGGGCGAAUCUGGUCUCAAAGACCCCAUUCUUCACCAAAUCCUCUAACGUGUCUGGAGGUCACAGGGAGUGUCAGACAGACGCGGACACCGAGUCACGGAGCCCGGCCCCUGGGACCUCUGGCACGAGACCACGCCUGGAAUCCUGACCGGACCAGGUCCACGGCGUUCUGGGCCAGCCUCUCACCUGGUGGCGGCUGGGAUGGGGGCUGGCCUGGCAGGCUGCACUCUGGCGGCAGGACCCUCAGGCUCCAUGAGGAGCGUGCGGCACGAGGCCCCAGCCGUGUCUCCGGGCCCCCGGGACACACUUGUCCCCUGUGCCCCACACCAAGCCAGGCGCUCAGCCAGCACACCUUGUAAUGGAAGCCCUUUGUCCUGAGCUCCUCCAGGAACCGUCGCUGCCGGCAGGCCUGCCUGGGGUUUCUCUGGGUGCGGCGGUCAGCCACGAGGACGUAAUCCCACUGCUCGGAGGCCUCGGUCUGGAGGGUGAUGAAGCAGCUCCUCAAACAGCUCCUCAAAUCCUUGAGAAAAGACAAGCAGCAGAGAGGGGUUUCGCAGAAGAGGAAGACGCGGGAACUCUAGACGGCCAGGGAAACACGGGUCAGGUCACCGGAGGCAUCCCCUCUACCCACUGGGUUACGGGCGUUUCAGUGGCCCGACCGCCUCGAACAGAUUCCCCGCGCACGAAUUGCGAAACAAAGCUGAACAUCCUAGACUGUACAGCCGGGCCACCUACCCCUGCACAGGAUGGUUCCGGUAGCAUAUUGCAUACAGGAAUUGUGGCGAUAGCCCGAGUUCCCACCAGCAGGUGGCUGGAUGAAGUUAUCCCACGCACGGUGGACAAUCACGCAGCAGAGACGUGAACGGGCUGCGACACACGGAGCCCUGGGGACCAACGUGACACGGCUCUGAGCUCAGACAAAGUCGAUGAGAAGCCCCAGAGGUACGUGCUGCAGGCACGUCCAGACGGACGGAUCAUAAGUCAGGGGCAGAACCUCAAGGAGGAGGCGGACGAGUGCACAGCCCCCGGGGCCCCUCCUGGGCCCCCGUUACUGUGGCGGCAUUUAUGGACAGCACGGGGCCUUCUCUCUCCCUCCCUCGGUGCUCCCCCUUGUGAGUGUGCUCCAGCCUUCCCGGCCGAGAAAGGACGCGUGGGAAGGGGAAGGAGAGGAGCCCAGCGGCGGCCCCCACCCUACAUGAUGAAGGUCUAGGUCACAGUGGUAUGGGUUAGCUGUUAGGGACCCCCCCCCCCACAAAACGCGGAGUCCUGGGUCAGCUUGAGAAAACAGCAGACUUUCUCCAGAGCCUGAGCAGACUCAAAGCCGGAUGGCCAGGGACAAGGAGGGAGAGAGGGAACGUCACAGACGGGAGGUGCCCAAGGAGACGUGAGGAUAAGUGCCACGUGGGAUCCUGCAAGGACCCGGGAACAGGAAGGACGCAAGUGGGGCAGCUGGUGACAUCGGAGUGCAGGUGCCCGUGUCGGGCUCUAGGCUCUGGCCAGAUCCUCAGCCACGGGGCUGUGGCAUCGGGGCAGCAGGGCGAGGGGCGCUGAGAAGCCUCGUGCUGUCUCUAUACCCCUCAGGAAUCUUUACAGAGGCGCUAAACGUGCACAGGUGGGGAGGGGGCGGGCUCAGGCCUCACUCCUCAUGAGCAGACGGACAGCAGGCCGCGAGGCAGACCUGGGCCCUUUCGCCGCGGGGCCGGGCAGCCGAGGGAGUGGAGGUGCGGGAGGCGGGCGACGAGGGCAGACAGUCACAGUGGGUCCCAAGGGGGGAGCUCCAGGCUGAGAUGUGGAGGGGACCUUGGCCUUGGAGCCCAGGGCCUGGGUUGCCAACCCUGUGCGCCCUCAGGCAAGACUGCCCACCUCUUCCGGCCUGGCCGCAGGACGCGCCCUGCACCCCAGUGUGGCGCUAAGCGUGCUUCCCAGCCGGCAGCUCUCCGGGGAGGCGCAGGGACCCUGCAGCGUCCCAGGGAUGAGGGUGCGGGGGACGCCCUGGGGGCUGGGCCCACAGAGCACCCACCUCGCUCCUGCUGGGCUCUUGCCAUGGCCUCCUGCCAGCCCACCACCCCUGCCGCCCUUCUCCUGGCUUACGAGCUCAGUGUGGGCCGUGGCCGUCUGGCACCACAUCACACCCUCCUCUCUAUCCUGCCCGCUGCCAGGCCUCCUUCCCCCUGCUGGUCCGCCCACCUCCUACCCCUUCCCUGCCACAACCACUUUCCACCCAGCUCAAGACCUGCCUCCUUCAGAAAGCCUCCCUGGACUGCUCCAGCCGGUCCGCCCUGAAGGGCUGUCAGGAAGAAUGCAGGCUGCCCAGUCCCAGUUGAAUCCGAGACAGACAACAGAUGCUUUGUAGUAUAAGUAUGUCCCAGUUACUGCAUGGGACACACUUAUACCUAAAAAGAAAG